ACGCUUCUGCCCUUGUGCAUUUCUCACAUGACCAUCUCCAUCUCUGAGAGUACCCUCAACAUCUUGAAUCAGUAUCACUGGUUGUGCCAUUGCUGCCUUUUUCUUAACUUUUCGAAUUCCUCUUUUUAAACCCGCUAGUUCGGAAUUGUUGAGAUCAACUAACUCUUUGUUCUGCUGGCUUCUGGUAUUAGGUAUAAACCUGAAACACCAAAAAUAAAAGAGAAAACAAAAGCGUAAAUAACAAAAUAAAAUAAAAAAACUUAGACUAAACUUUUAACCUUAACCACGAACUGGGCUUAAUUGCAAAUAAGGGAAACUUCUGGGCCGAAUCUACAAAUCUUCUGAACUUCAAUUAAGCGUGAAAUUC
Molecule: long non-coding RNA, 367 nt
Filed under: Capsella rubella
Lineage: Eukaryota; Viridiplantae; Streptophyta; Magnoliopsida; Brassicales; Brassicaceae
Description: long non-coding RNA (CRUB_LNC000679)
Source: RNAcentral